This 962-nucleotide long non-coding RNA is filed under the name Scleropages formosus (Asian bonytongue). RNAcentral's name for it is "lncRNA (ENSSFOG00015031100.1)". Lineage: Eukaryota; Metazoa; Chordata; Actinopteri; Osteoglossiformes; Osteoglossidae. The record is from RNAcentral.
GAUUAUUAAUGAGUCAAUCGGAUUUGAUGACUUUCAAAGAUUUUAUUGUAAUUUGACUCUCAGUGAAAUCCAACAGAAUAUCAGUGGAACAGAAAAUUUGAAAGAUCUUGCAGCAAAAAUUCAGAUACUGACAUCUAGACCAGAGAUGUUGUCAGCUGAGAAUGUCAGCAUCGCAACUCAGAUUGUCACAACAAUUCUGAACUCCACACCUCCUCAGGUUAAUACUGUUAUCUUCUUAUUCAUAGCAGCAACGUGCUAGCUGACUAUAUUUCACAUAAUGAAAAUUAAGGAUGCUGUAUGCUUAUAGGAAUAAAGCAUUUUUCCUUGGGUGAAUUUCUGUGUUUCUCUUUAGGAAGUUGCUGUUGCUGCAGUAACAACAGUGAGCCAGCUUUUAAAUGCUCAGGAUGACAAGUUCACCACACCAGGCAGCAGUGUCAGCACAAAGAGGCUUACUGAAGCCCUGCAAAAGUUUUCUGUUCAGACCUCUUACAAUAAUAGCUUGGUCCAACCCAACUUGGCUGUCCAGUCUGAAAUCAUGUCAGGUGCGAAUGUCAAGGGGGUCCAGUUUUCACUGAUUGGAGACCCCAGCAGCUUAGUGCCCAAUAGAAUUCGUUUCAACCCCAACGCCUCUCAGCUGACUGUUAACAGCUCAGGGACAGUCCAGAUAUUCAUCCAGUUUCCAUCAGAACCGCCUGUCCCAUACGGGGUCACGGAGAACCGGAGCCUACCCGGCAACACAGGGCGUAAGGCCGGAGGGGGAGGGGACACACCCAGGACGGGACGCCAGUCCGUCGCAAGGCACCUCAAGCGGGACUCAGACCCCAGACCCACUAGAGAGGAGGACCCGGUCCAACCCACUUUGCCACCGCGCCCCCCUGCAAGUAGCCAGUUAAAUUAAAUAAAACAAAAUUUGAUUUUACCCAAGUAAUAAAAUGAGUAUUAACACUGUCUAAAAUGUAACG